GGGCGGUUAGCUCAGCUGGUUAGAGCGCUACGUUGACAUCGUAGAGGUCGCAGGUUCAAGUCCUGCACCGCCCACCA
This 77-nucleotide transfer RNA is filed under the name bacterium. RNAcentral's name for it is "tRNA-Val". It matches the Rfam family "tRNA". From Rfam's summary of the family: Transfer RNA (tRNA) molecules are approximately 80 nucleotides in length. Their secondary structure includes four short double-helical elements and three loops (D, anti-codon, and T loops). The record is from RNAcentral. RNAcentral also lists the same sequence under 1 other name.